This 700-nucleotide long non-coding RNA is filed under the name Mytilus galloprovincialis (Mediterranean mussel). Lineage: Eukaryota; Metazoa; Mollusca; Bivalvia; Mytilida; Mytilidae. The record is from RNAcentral.
GUCCUAAUUACGCUUCUACAACGAUCCCGCUACGAUUAAACCACGUUCUCACCGCGCUUAUUCUGCGACCUCACUACGCUUAUAAAGAUCUUUCUACGCUCUUCACGUUCUCACUACGACCAUACCACGAGUUAUCCGAUUGCAACACGAUCUUACUGCGAUUAUAGCACGUUCUUACCACGAUUACACUACGUUCAUACCGCGAUCUUACUACGUUCUCAGCAAUACCGUCAAUAUCGUGUUUCAUAUCAAUAUAGUUCCAUUCCUUCUAUUUCUGAUUAAAACAAGGAUUUCUCGGAAACAAUACAGUCAUGCCACCAAAAUCUACUAGAACACGUGGGCGUGGUGAUAGGGGUUGAUGUAGAGGCAGAGGGAGCAAAGUAUGAACGCCAUACUAAACUCCAAAUAGUACACAAGAAACUAAAAUUAAAAAUAGUACAAGACUAACAAAGGCCAGAGGCUCCUGACUUGGGACAGGCGCAAAAAUAGUGGGGUUAAACAUGUUUGUGAGAUCUCAACCCUCCCCCUAUACCUCUAGCCAAUGAAGAAAAGUAAACGCAGAACAAUACGCACAUUAAAAUUCAGUUCAAGAGAAGUCCGAGUCUGAUGUCAGAAGAUGUGACUAAAGAAAAUAAACAAAAUGACAAUAAUACAUAAAUAACAACAGACUACUAGCAGUUAACUGACAUGCCAGCUCCAG